AGCAGCCGCGGUAAUUCCAGCUCCAAUAGCGUAUAUUAAAGUUGUUGCAGUUAAAAAGCUCGUAGUUGAAUUUCGGGAUCAGUACGCUGGUCGUGCCUUCGGUAUGUACUGGUGUUACUGGUUCCUACCUUCUGACGAACCGUCAUGUCAUUAAUUUGGUGUGGCGGGGAAUCAGGACUGUUACUUUGAAAAAAUUAGAGUGUUUAAAGCAGGCUCGCGCUUGAAUACAUUAGCAUGGAAUAAUGAAAUAGGACGUUCGACCCUAUUUUGUUGGUUUCUAGGAUUGACGUAAUGAUUAAUAGGGAUAGUUGGGGGCAUUAGUAUUCAAUUGUCAGAGGUGAAAUUCUUGGAUUUAUUGAAGACUAACUACUGCGAAAGCAUUUGCCAAGGAUGUUUUCAUUAAUCAAGAACGAAAGUUAGGGGAUCGAAGACGAUCAGAUACCGUCGUAGUCUUAACCAUAAACUAUGCCGACUAGGGAUCGGAUGAUGUUAAUUUUUUAAUGACUCAUUCGGCGCCUUA
Molecule: ribosomal RNA, 520 nt
Filed under: uncultured Glomus
Lineage: Eukaryota; Fungi; Glomeromycota; Glomeromycetes; Glomerales; Glomeraceae
Description: SSU rRNA
Rfam family: Eukaryotic small subunit ribosomal RNA
Source: RNAcentral